AUGAAAACAGAGCAACUACUUCACGUGGCUGAGCCAUGCGUUGUGAAAGGCUUCUGCUGGCAGAGAGGACAACUGCGAGCAUGCUCAUGUGGGAAGAGCAAGCUCUGGGGGAGAAGGCCACAAGGCUGGCUUAGUCAGAGCUGUACAUGGCUCAGAUUAGUGAAACCUACUUCUGAAGUAUCAGGAUGGGCUCCAGAAAAGACAUCUGGAGAAGCUUUUGGUCUGGAGCUUAGUGUAAUCCAAAGAGAACCACCCACAGCUCUCACACGUAACUGCAAGCCAUCCACCCAACCUCCACAUCCUCAAGCAAGGAUCUGAAGCAGCUCAGCUGGGUACUGCUGAAGGUAGGCAGGUUCAGAAAGGAACACAAUGACCUUCAGUUAUGCUGCCCCCCACUUAGUUCCUUUCAAAGGCUGAGCAAACUUCACCCCCGUGGGACGAAAUUACGCUGUGACAGAUGUGAACAGGCUGAUGGCAGAUUGUUAUUUCAGGUGAUGGGAGUGCACACACUGGUUAAUGCUAUCUGUAAUGUAUGUAUCGAUCCUGGAAAUGUGGGACCAGAUGAGUCCCAUAUCCUCCUGUUGCCAUGGAGAUUCCUUCUGGGAAAUAGGCAUUUAUUUCUUCUUCUUGAAUCAGUCACAUUGCUGCCUGCAAUUAAGAUGAUUAGUGAUAUGUGGGCCCUUGUUUCCGUUAAGAGGAAAAAGCUGACUACACAAUCCAGCUAUCUUUCCAGUGCACUACAGUUUACGAACAGGUAACACCCUCAGUCCUGUGGCCCUGCAAACAAAUGGAACAAGCAGAAAGAGAAAGAGUUUUGAUUGUCUCAACCCUGUCCAAAGGCAGGGGUAUUUAAUGGCCCCCUUGUUUCAAGCUGAAGAGGUGCAGUGCCACAGCUCCCCCCACAGCGGAGAAGCGUUUGCCUGGGGUCAGUGACUCUUCCUGGCAUCUGUUGGAGGAUCCCAGCAUGACUGCAUACUCAUACAGCUAUUCCUUAAGGGUCUUAAUUCAAGACAUGCAUGAGCAAAAGUAAGAAAAUGUCUGAAUGCCCGACAUGCCUGAAAUUACGAAUAGUAUCUCCAUUUCAGAAAUGUUCAGAAAUAUUUGGCUGACAGAUCCCUGGGCAUGAUCAAUUUUGAAAUUCAUCCCCUUCUAAUCCAUGAACCAGACAGGAUUUUGAUGGCAUGCAGUUUUGAAAGGCGAGGAGUUAAAGGUGGAGAAAGGCCUGAAGGCUAUGUGACAGCCCUUGUGCAGAGAGCAGGGGGUAAAGGUAAAUGCAGCGGGGCACUCUGUGAGAGGAGGGAAAGGCAGAACUGGAGUUGUAGGAAAACAAAUUGAGGGCCGUGAAGAGCCCCUAGCAUGGUGCAGAGACAGGAAUGGGGGCACACACAGAGGAGAGCAGUGUCAUCAUCAGGGCAUAACAGGGUGCACCCACAUUAUCCCUGGCACGGUGUGGGCAGUGAAGGGGUCACAGAUGUCCAGAAAAGGCAAGAGAAGAACUCACAGUGGAUGUGUGGGAAGGACAGAAAGGAGCUACAGGAACACGUAACCUACACGUAGGAGUACACAAGGCUCACUGGUUUUUAGGGGUUUUGAGCUGUUGAGGUGGAGUUUGAAUGUACAAGCUUCAGAGGGCCACAUCUGUAAAAUACAAUACCAGUGUUACAAGGGGUGUUAUCUGAGAACUUUUAACAGGAGAAUUCCCACAUGUCAGAUUUUAAAUGUUUUAUGUUGUUCCAAAUGUCACGGUUCUGUCACAGGCAAUCACAGAAGAUGCAAGACCUGUAGCUCUGAUCUGUAGCAUGGAUCCCGUAUUAACUAGACUAUUUUUCUUGGGAGUUUUUUAUCAGCAGUUGAAGAGUGCUUUUCAAAAGCCACUGGGACACGGUCCUUGGCAACCUGCUGUAGGUGUCCCUGCUUGAACAAGGGGUUGGACCAGAUGAUCUCCAGAGGUCCUGUAAACCUCACCCAUUCUGUGAUUGUCAGAAAAAUAAAUGAACUGUGAUGGUUGUGUAAA
RNAcentral lists this long non-coding RNA (2014 nucleotides) under Anas platyrhynchos platyrhynchos (common mallard). RNAcentral's name for it is "lncRNA (ENSAPLG00000027591.1)". The record is from RNAcentral. Lineage: Eukaryota; Metazoa; Chordata; Aves; Anseriformes; Anatidae.